AACGAACGCUGGCGGCAGGCUUAACACAUGCAAGUCGAACGGGCACCUUCGGGUGUCAGUGGCAGACGGGUGAGUAACGCGUGGGAACGUACCCUUCGGUUCGGAAUAACCCAGGGAAACUUGGGCUAACACCGGAUACGUCCGCAAGGAGAAAGAUUUAUCGCCGAAGGAUCGGCCCGCGUCGGAUUAGCUAGUUGGUGGGGUAAUGGCCCACCAAGGCGACGAUCCGUAGCUGGUCUGAGAGGAUGAUCAGCCACACUGGGACUGAGACACGGCCCAGACUCCUACGGGAGGCAGCAGUGGGGAAUAUUGGACAAUGGGCGAAAGCCUGAUCCAGCCAUGCCGCGUGAGUGAAGAAGGCCUUAGGGUUGUAAAGCUCUUUCAGCGGGAAGAUAAUGACGGUACCCGCAGAAGAAGUCCCGGCUAACUUCGUGCCAGCAGCCGCGGUAAC
This 451-nucleotide ribosomal RNA is filed under the name uncultured bacterium. RNAcentral's name for it is "bacterial SSU rRNA". It matches the Rfam family "Bacterial small subunit ribosomal RNA", at positions 29 to 524 of the family's 1533-position model. The record is from RNAcentral.